AGAGUUUGAUCCUGGCUCAGAGUGAACGCUGGCGGCAGGCCUAACACAUGCAAGUCGAACGCAGCACAGCAGUAGCAAUACUGUGGGUGGCGAGUGGCGGACGGGUGAGGAAUGCAUCGGAAUCUGCCUAUUUGUGGGGGAUAACGUAGGGAAACUUACGCUAAUACCGCAUACGACCUACGGGUGAAAGUGGGGGACCGCAAGGCCUCACGCAGAUAGAUGAGCCGAUGCCGGAUUAGCUAGUUGGCGGGGUAAAGGCCCACCAAGGCGACGAUCCGUAGCUGGUCUGAGAGGAUGAUCAGCCACACUGGGACUGAGACACGGUCCAGACUCCUACGGGAGGCAGCAGUGGGGAAUAUUGGACAAUGGGCGCAAGCCUGAUCCAGCCAUGCCGCGUGAGUGAAGAAGGCCUUCGGGUUGUAAAGCUCUUUUGUCCGGAAAGAAAAGCAUUCGGUUAAUAACCGGGUGUCAUGACGGUACCGGAAGAAUAAGCACCGGCUAACUCGUGCCAGCAGCCGCGGUAAUAC
This 527-nucleotide ribosomal RNA is filed under the name uncultured bacterium. RNAcentral's name for it is "bacterial SSU rRNA". It matches the Rfam family "Bacterial small subunit ribosomal RNA", at positions 8 to 526 of the family's 1533-position model. The record is from RNAcentral.